This 495-nucleotide ribosomal RNA is filed under the name Salmonella enterica. RNAcentral describes it as "bacterial SSU rRNA". It matches the Rfam family "Bacterial small subunit ribosomal RNA", at positions 1027 to 1522 of the family's 1533-position model. Lineage: Bacteria; Pseudomonadati; Pseudomonadota; Gammaproteobacteria; Enterobacterales; Enterobacteriaceae. The record is from RNAcentral.
CUGUGAGACAGGUGCUGCAUGGCUGUCGUCAGCUCGUGUUGUGAAAUGUUGGGUUAAGUCCCGCAACGAGCGCAACCCUUAUCCUUUGUUGCCAGCGGUCCGGCCGGGAACUCAAAGGAGACUGCCAGUGAUAAACUGGAGGAAGGUGGGGAUGACGUCAAGUCAUCAUGGCCCUUACGACCAGGGCUACACACGUGCUACAAUGGCGCAUACAAAGAGAAGCGACCUCGCGAGAGCAAGCGGACCUCAUAAAGUGCGUCGUAGUCCGGAUUGGAGUCUGCAACUCGACUCCAUGAAGUCGGAAUCGCUAGUAAUCGUGGAUCAGAAUGCCACGGUGAAUACGUUCCCGGGCCUUGUACACACCGCCCGUCACACCAUGGGAGUGGGUUGCAAAAGAAGUAGGUAGCUUAACCUUCGGGAGGGCGCUUACCACUUUGUGAUUCAUGACUGGGGUGAAGUCGUAACAAGGUAACCGUAGGGGAACCUGCGGUUGGA